GUCCGCUCGAACAAAGCUUUGAGGGAGAACUCGGUCAAAACAAUGAUUGUAUGAGCAUGGAAAUAGUGUGCCAACUUCCUAGAGGCCAUUAUCAAGGCCAACGCAAGUUUUUCAGUGGCAAGUAUCUCAACUCUGCCGGUAGCAAGGUUUUACUUACGUAGAAGAUAGGGAGGUGCUUGAUUCCUUCCGACCGGACAAGUACCGCACUAACUGCAUGCUGAGAAACGGCCAGAUAAAGGUAAAGUUCCUCGCCGGGCUUCGGUGUUACCAACAGUGGUGCAAAAGACAGAUACUCCUUGAGCUCGGCCAAAGCCCGGUCACAUUUUUCAUCCCAUGAGAACUUUGAUUUCAAAGCUCGAAAGAAAGGGCGGCAGCGAUCUAAUGACCGGCUUAUGAAUCGGUUAAGCGCGGCGGCUAUUCCGGCCAGAUGCUGCACAUCCUUAGCCGAGCUCGGCUGCUUUAAUUCUUGUACGACUCUGAUUUGUGUGGGGUCUGCCUCAAUGCCUCGAUUUGUAACUAGGAAGCCUAAGAAUUUUUUGGAUCCCACGCCAAAGGCACACUUGGACACAUUCAGGCGUAGCUUGUGCCGUUUGAGAAUGGUGAACGUCUCAGCCAAGUCAAACAAGUGGUCUGCUUGAUGCCGGCUUUUGACCACCAUAUCAUCAAUAUAAGCCUCCAUUGUC
This 683-nucleotide small RNA is filed under the name Camellia sinensis. RNAcentral's name for it is "transcribed RNA". Lineage: Eukaryota; Viridiplantae; Streptophyta; Magnoliopsida; Ericales; Theaceae. The record is from RNAcentral.